UGAAUUUGAUUUUUCUCCCGACUUUUUGGGUUUAACCCCUGCAGGCUUUACGUGAGAGGAACUAUAUUGGGGUACAAGAGGUCGCAGUCCAACCAGUACCCGAACACUUCGUUGAUUCAGAUCGAAGGAGUGAACGCAAAGGAGGAGGUGGCUUGGUACCUCGGCAAGAAGAUGGCGUACAUCUACAAGGCUAAGGUUAAGAAGAAUGGGUGCAGGUUGGACUUGAACUUAGCUCUGACGACGCCGCUGUUACGGUGAAGAAUGGGUGUAGGUUGGACUUGAACUUAGCCCUGAUAACGCCGCUGUUACCGUUAGGUAAGAGCGGCGUUGUCAGGGCUAGGUUCAAGUCUGCCCCCCAAGUCAGUGAGCGGCGUCGUCCGAGCUAAGAGGUAAUAUUAACUGUACUGCUGUUCCUUUAUUUAUCAUUCCUAUUUGGUUUGCUAUUUCUUUUUCUUAAAUGAAUGUUUCUGUAUCCUGAUAUUUCAGGGAUCAAGGGUUCGGGUCUUCAUGUACCCAAGCAAUAUUUAACGUAUUCUUUAUCCGCUUUUUUGAAAAUUUUCCAAGGUUAUGUUUAUGGUUGCUUUUUGGUGAAAAAUUUGUUACCUAUACUUUCAGUGAGAUGUUUCUUUUGCAAUAUCUGAAUUAGAGUUUAAUAAUUUGGGUCAUUUACGGGGAUGCUCUGACUUGUAGAGUUUGGUAAACUGACCAAUUGGUUAGAUUAUGAGUAACUUCAAGGUUGGUCGAUAUUUGGAGUUGAUUUUUUGGGUUGGAGUCUGUAUAUAGGUAUGUGGUCGCAAUUUACUUUUGUUCCUCAUAUUGCUUUCAUAAGCGGUUUCCCUUUGACAAUGACGUGUGCUUGUACUAAUUUUUGAAGCUUUCUUUGUUAGAAUGGUUGUAAGAAGGAGCUGGUUUUUGUGAAGACUUUGCUUGAAGUUUUACACAUCCGUCUUUAUGCAAUACUAAAAUUUGUAGGCUAUAGAGCUCAGCUUGAGUAGCGGAUGGUUUUACCAGAUUUCUUGUGUUGGAUUUUAGUUUUACCAGAUUUAUAGUUAUGGCUUAAAUUUUCAGACAUGCAUCAUUUUAGUGAAUGAUGAGGUAACAUGGAGAAGUUUUUCAUGAGAACAGUUUGUGUGGUUACUGAUGAACAUGACCAAAAAAUGUGGGUUGAGAGAGAGCGAGCAAGAUGCGGAUCUGAAGACAAUACAGAGGAUGUCAAUCAUGCUUAAAAUUGUCUGUGUUACACAAUUCAUCCAAAAUAUGGCUGUUAGAUAUGCAGAAUUGAUGGAGACUUGUGUGCACAACAUGUGGGGGGUAAAAGGUACAGAUUUUGUUAAUUUUCACAAGUAAUAUCCCCUCCACAUUUCAGGAAGCAUGUUAGAAAAGAUGGCACUGUGGCUAGUUUCCAAGUAUUUUGAAACUUCCCCAGUAUAAGUUAUCCAAAGUUACUCAGACACAGUUACUGCGCACUCAUUUUUUAAAAAAUUAUUCCAAAUAAUCUUCAAUCCGGAGGCAUUUCAAAGUAACUUAGCCGGUUCAAUUAAACUGGUAUACUUGGAGGAGGCAUGCACGCAGAACUGAGCCGGUCCACCCUCACCAGGUCGACGCUAGGAAAGCCGCUUCAUGAAAAGGUUCUUCUUUCUCUGCACAUAAAACCUCCUCACCAUUUGCAGUUGAGGUGGGAAAAUAACUAGGGUUCACCUGCCACAUCUGCAGUAAUUACCCCCAAAAAAGAAAAGGAAAGAAAAAUGCCAUUCAUAUAGAAGAUAGAGAGACAGACGGAUUACAGCCAGUUCGAUUCAACUCUCCCCAUCGUCAUCGACAAUGGCGGUUCGUAUUUCCGCAUUGGGUAACAAAAGCCCUGAUUCUUUGGUUCGCUUAGAUUAAUUUGCUUUGUGAAGUUGUGUUUUGAUAAAAUUCCCGAUAAAUCACACCCUUCAAUUAUGAUUUGGUCUUGUGAUAGCUGGGCAGGGGAGGAUGAGCCUCGGGUUAUAUUCCGGAAAAUUUUAGGCCUCGUCAUAAAACCACUGGUAUCUCUUGAUAUACAUAUGUUCACAUAUAUUUGUAAUUUUCACUAGUGUAAUUUUUUCGGCAUUAUGCCAAUGUUAAUCUCUCUGCCUGUGAAGUUGGAUUUGAACUGAAUAUACCAUUGUGCUAGAUUUUUCCCCAAUCUUCUUCUUCUUCUUCUUUUUUCCUAUUUGAGCAUGGCAUGAAUGAUGGAAAACUUGUUUUUAACCGGUAGGCUGGAUAUCACUUGUAUAUACUGGCUCAACAUAAGCAAAAAUUCAUGGGUCAUGUGCUUGCCAAAUUUCUUUUACCAAAGAUUUGAUUUUUGAUGAAGAUGAAUAAGCUUCAAAUGUCUUCCACCCUCAAUUUUUGGUGCUUUCCUGUAAUUGAAUUCUUUUAUUUAUUAUUAUUAUUAUUAUUCAAAUAAUUGCAUGCUAGGUCAGUAUAUCUGCUUCUUUGUUUUUGCUGGAGCACUAGAUUGAGUGUAAUUAAUACAGUCAAAUGAUUUAUGUAUUUACAUUUGUGGCCUUUCCUGUUCCACUCAACCUAUAAUUUAUGAUUUGAAUGGAAAGAACAAAACCUCUGCAUUCACAUGUUUUAGAUUGCAGAGGUUUUGGACUCAUGGGUUCAAAAUGGUAGCUUCACAUGUUUGAAUCUACACGUAGUUCCGAACUUCGACUUUUAUAAUUUGAUUUUACAUCAAUUAAAAGUUUUUUCUGCAUUCUUUCUAAUGCACGUGAAACAGUCACAGUUGUUGGUGAUCAUAACCCAACGCUGCUAAGAUAUUUUGAUUGCACAUGUUCAGGACCUCGUUCAUCUUUUGAUGGCAAUGUCGUUUAUCAGUUUGAGAUAAUGGAAUAUAUAAGUUUCAUUAAUUUUGAGUAGUAACUGGGUUUCAAGUUACCUUGCUGAAACUUUUCACUCUAUAUUCUCCAAUGAAUACUCUUUACUAUAGAAUGGUGAUCAAUUUGUUUCAUAAUUCUAAUAGGAUAUAAAGCACACCCUCUGUGUCCAUAUGCGUCACACAGCAGUUACUUUUACCCUGUCAAUAGUGAGAUACUAAAAGUCGGUAAUUUGUUAGACUCCUAAGAAGUAUGUGUUAUGUGUUACAUAUUGAUAACUUGCUUUCUCAAUCUGCAUCACAAAACUUAUAUCUGUCAUUUUGUAGAAAUGUUCUCAGUGAAUUACCAUCUUGAUUUUAUGAGUAUUUACUAGCCAUAUGCCAAUCUUUGGAGUUUGUUAAGAAUAUAAAAGCCCCAAAUCAUUCUAGCCUUUACUGCUUUACAUAAUAUUACCUGAGGUCACAUAAGCAGUAUGUUUGAUAUUCAAGCAGUUUCCUCCGAAAUCCACCUUACUGUUUAUACAAGUCUGAACUGACUAAUUAACGCCUAAACGCUUAGCUUCAGUCAUAGCAAUUGUAUAUCUUACAAACCGUAAAGUUUAACAUAACAAAGAAACUCUGAUUGGGGGCUGUAGAUGAAUGUAGAAUAAGGCAGAAUACAUGACACAUAAUGUAAUUUUCCUUUUCUUUUUUCAGCUUUUCGUUAAUCCAAAUGUUUGGAUAUCUUAAUAUGUUCCAUCGUUUUAUCCAGGCGUGUGUUUUCGUGCACCCAUUUGGUCCGGUAGUGGUUCAGUCCCCUCCGUGUUACCCCAGAACCUCCUUAGGUUCGCCCCCUCCCCCUUAGUGUAGGAUAGAUUAGAUUAUACAACAGUUGUUGUCUUUGAAAAAAAAAUAACAAUAUGUUCCAUCAAGUUACCUUCAACAUGUUUGUAUGAUGCUAUUUUGCAUUGAUUGGAAACUGAAACAUUUCCGUUUGUUACAUCUACUUUAUGUUCACAGAUCAAGUUGCUGAGUUGUGUGUUUUUUCUUGCAUGUAUAGAUUCUUGACUUCGGUUUUGAUCGAUUAGGUGCUGAUCAGUCGCAGGUACUGCUACAUCACCUUUCAAUUCUUUACUCGGCUAUAUCAAAGUUCUUUUUGGUGUGAUCUGAUGUAAAAUGCAAUGUGAGAUUUAUCAAUUCGGAAGUUGCUGGUUUUUCUUACUGUCAUCAUAUUUUAUGUGAUUAUCCGGUUUUGCUUGCAAAGCUAUAUAUGUUGUAUAGCGUGAAUAGAUAGUAGAUUUAUUCCUGGAGAUCUGUUUGUCAUUGCAUCCACCCCCCCUAGUUUUACUUAUUAAACUUUUGUGACAUUUCGUGCAGACCUAAUGUUUCGUGUUGACUUUUUGUGUCAUAAGCAGAGAUUCUGAUUUGCACUUUAUAUAUAACUGAGGUAAAUACUGUGGGCUCAAAGCAUUGAAUGUCUUCAUUGAUCUCCUUAAAGAAUUUACAAGCUUUCUUUGCAGGCAAUGGUUGACAUCCCAAAAAUGUUGUGGUUUAGAAUAAGCUUUUUAUGUCAAUUUGAUUCAUUUCUUCAUGUUUAUUUUUGUGCAGCUUGUAGAUGUCUGACUUCAUUUGUGUUUUUUGCAAUAUUUAUCGCUUCAUAUUUGAUUCCUGAAUUUCUUGAUUUUAGAUAUCAGCGUUGGAAAUAUUCAUGUAGUUGAUUUGAUGGCAGAACGGAUUGACCAUCCUGUUUUGAUCACCGAGUGUGCUAUCCAGUCUCGUUGUAGAAUGGCAGAACUUCUUUUUGAGUCUUAUGGAGUUCCUUGAAUAGGUAUGCUUGCCAGUUGUUAGUUAACUGAAGCUUCUGCUUGUUUGGGCAAAUAUUUUAGUUACGGUGAAACAGGGAUGCAAACUCUUAAUAUUAUUGUCAACUGCAUGUUUUAUCUUUGUAUGGAUGUAGCAUGAUUGACACACGAUGGUCACAGCGUAUUGUACUUGUAUUUCUCGUUUUAUAUGGUCCGAUGCCAUGAGUGCUUGGACUGUUGCUAUUUUAAUGUAUCACUUACUUUUUACUUUCCCUUUAGCAGCAUUUGGUGUGGAUGCCACAUUCAGCUACAAGUACAACCAACAACUUGGAAUAUGUAAUAGUGAUGGUCUUGCAAUUUGCUCAGGAUUUAUGACUAGUGAUGCUGUUUGGGUAUGCUUCACUUGUUUUUACUGAAGUUCAUAGGGAUUUUGUGGAUAAUUCCAAUUUCAUGGAGCAGUGAGUACAGAAACAUAUCCAUCACAAAUCUCAACUAUGCGUCACUGCCGCAAUUCUUUUGCUGUUCCAUUAAAGGUUAGGUUAGUUUAUUCUGAAGUUCAGUGCCCAUACCAAGUCACUAUCUUGAUCUGGUGCCACUGAGUCUACUAUUGGUAUCAAGUAUGAAAAGACCUACAUUGAAUAGAUUAUAUUCUUCCAGAAGAAACAUGUUGUUCAUGUAGGGUACACCCAUCCUUAAUAAUUUCAUGAAUUUUGCCAUUAACUUUUUGUAGGUCAACACAAAUAUGCUUUGCCUAUGACCUAUUAAAGAAUUAGUUAUCUAUCUGUAUUUGCCGCAUUAUUCGUUGGAUAUGCACAACCUGUAGGCCUGUCCUACAAACCAGCCAAACACCUAAGCUUGAGCUUGGCAUCAUGGAUUCAGCCAAGUACAGCAUCAUGUAGUUCGCAGGUUGCUCAUAGGAGGAUGCCGAAAUUUUACUUUUAAUGGGCAACCUAUAAUUGACUUGUGAUAAAUAUUCUCAAACUAUACGGGGGCAAUACUUUAAUUUUGUAAAGGAGUAUUUUGAAGAAUUCCAAAUUUUCAAGGGGUGGAAAGGUAAUAUCUUGGAUAAGUAGGGUGGGGGUGGUCCCCUACACCCCUGCAACCAAAGGUCUGGGAUGGAUUGCUGGAGAUUAUUGGUGGUGCAAGGUUUGCAGAGUUUGGUGUUUGGCAUAUGUAGCGCCUUGAAUAUAAUAUUUUAGCUCAAGAUGCUUCUUUGAGGCUCAAGCUAGAAGAAAAUGAAUCACUGAGCUAAGAACCAAAUUGAGCAGCUUCCUUCUCACUGGGGACUAGGAAUGUUUGAUAGCUGAGCAAUGGUUUACUGUGGGCAAUUAAGAAGCCAGAAUAACAAAGUGAAACAUUAACACCUGCAUGUAAUACCAGUUAAUGUAUUCAGUCUCUGAUACUUAUCCUAGUGUUAUAUGAAGUACUGCACCUUAACAACUUGCAAUGGUCUACAAUGUAUAUGUGUAAGUUUGAAUUCUUAUCCAUUUUUCCUAUCACAGUUCAUAAAUGGAGAACCUGCUUACGAAGCAUGUUGCCGAACUAGUGUUGGUGGAUACCAUGUUACCGAUUAUCUGAAGCAGCUUCUUUCACUUAAAUAUCCCCAUCACAUGUAAGCUUGAGAAUGCCGGUCCCUCUGUAAAUGCAAUUGGAACUUUUCUUCAUUUGUUUUGUAGUCUUGAUCGCUUAUUUUUUUUAAAACAGUUCUAAGCUCACAUGGGAAAAAGUUGAAGACCUUAAGAUGGAACACUGUUACAUUGCAUCAGAUUAUACAUCAGAAGUCCGAAUAUUUCAGGUAGUGUAGUUUGGUCUUUCUGACUUGUCUGCAACUAUUCUGCUUUGCUUCUGCAAUCAUCUAAGCAAUUCAACUUGUAGCAGAAAGGGGAUAAAGAAGCUGAAGAAAAGACCAGGUGCUGGCAGCUUCCUUGGACUCCUGCACCAGCUGAAGAACAACCUUCAGAAGAAGAGCUAGCUGGAAAGGCUGCUCUAAAGGAGAGACAGGGUCAAAGACUAAGGGAGAUGGCUGAAGCAAAGAGGUCCUCUCGAAUUAAUGAGCUUGAAAAUGACAUUAGAGGUUUGGAAUUCCUCUUAAAGCAGCUCAAGCUGGUUGAAGAGAAUAAUGUUCCUGCAUUUCUAAAGAGAGACUGGCUAUGCCUCUAAACAGGAAAUAGAAUCUAAUCUGGCAAAGGCAAUACAAUCUUUAUGCAAAGCAAAGGGCGAACAAGUUGAAACUGAGGAGAAGAUGGACGCUUCCACGGCUGACAAGUAUAAUCUUGUCAAUGUGCCUGACAAUGUGCUGACACCAGAGCAGGUGUGUGUUCCGAUUCCAUGUGUUCUAACAGAUCUUUGUCUUAUAGUUUCUGUUGAUUUUGGUAUUUUCUACUGCACAGCAAUUUCUAGUUAAACAAGAUACAAGAGCAGUGAAUGGCUGCUAAAUUGGAACCACAGUAUUGUUUUCAUGUAAUGUUCGUAACUUUCAGAAAUUUAAAUUUUUCACUCUUGUUUCCAUGGCAGCUUAAAGAGAAAAGGAAGCAGUUGUUUCUCAAAUCCACAACUGAGGCCAGGCAACGAGCUAAACAGAAGCGGAUUGAAGAGGAAUUAGAAAGAGAAAAAGCAAAUGAAAAUGGAGGAGGAAAAGCGCUUGUAUGUUUGUGAUUCGCAAGCUUAACUUGUCUAAUCAUUGCUUGAUGAUAUUGUAGAUAUGUGGUCUCUUUUACGUUGUAUUGUCAUUACAUUAUGCUUUGCUUCUGAAUGUAGAGAGAAGCCAGACGUGAUUUGGAGGAUUUACGUGCUAAAUACCGAGAGCUUUCUGAGAGAGUGGAGCAGCGAAAACGCUUGAAGCCAAAUGGCAACAACACAAAUGGGAACCAAAAUGGUUCUGGAGGUGUGGGCCGUGGUGAAAGAUUGAAUGUUGCUCAAAGAGAGAGGAUGCGCCUCCUGACAACAGCUGCAUUUGAUCGAGGGAAGGGCGAGGACACUUUUGGUAGCAUUUGGGAGUUUUGUGGGGUAGAAAAUGAUGGAAAGCAUUUGAUUUGGAUAAAUGAACUCCUACUAUUAUGGUUACCACCGAAUGUGGGCGGAAAGCAUCGAAAAAAAGCUAAGAAUGCCUAAUAAAAUUUUUCUAAAUGCCAAUUUUGUUCUCAAAUGUGUGCUGAAUAAAUUUUUAUUAACACACACACACACACACACACACACAUAUAUAUAUCCAAAAUCAUCACUAAUCCUACCUUAACUCAAAAACAAUAUUAAAAUCUAAUUUUUUUCCUUUCUCUUCUUUUCUUUUCUUUCAUAAUGUAGCAUUUUCUAUCAUUUGUUUUCUAAUCUAAACAUCCAAAUUAACUAUAAAUAUUAGAAUUUGAAAGAUUUUGAAAAGAAAUUGAACGAUACAAAGUAUGAUAUUUUUAAAGAAAAAAUUCACAAUAGAUGGCUAAUGAUAAAAAAAUAGUAAAAUUUGUUCAAAACGUACAUCAUAUUUUACAAAAUAAUUUUUUCGUCCUUCAUUUAAAAAAGUGUAUUUUUACGUUUCUUACAAAUUGAUAUUGAACAAUUUUGGUACCUACCUAAAUUUUUGACUAGUUUUUUAUUGGAAUCUAUCACAUGCUUUACACAUGAUCAUUUUUUAAGGACAAGAUUGUCAAAUUAAAAUUUACAUAAUUUGAUCCAUAGUUCCUCAUAUUUAACAAAAUAAAAUUUUGUCUCUCAUAUUUCACAAAAUAAAUUGUAUCAUCUCUCAUAUUUUAUAAAAUAAAUUUUUUCAUCCCUUAUUGACUAUGUGUACAAAUAAUUUUUUAAAUCUAACUAAUUUUACUUAAAUAAUAUGAAUAGCAUGUAAUUUAUUUUUAUUUGCUUUCAUCUAAGUAGACUAAUUGUAGUUAUACACAUGCUAUUCAAUAGAUAUAUACAUUGGUUUAAAAAUAAUAAUUUUAUUUUAAAUCAAUAUAUAUUUUUAUUUGAUUUCACCAUGUGAAUCUAUUCAAUAUUUAUGGCUUUUUCCCUUUUGUUAAUAAUUCAUUUAUUGAGUUAUAUAAUAAGGUCAUCUAAUAAAUCGGUCCUAAAUCGAAUUCUAUAGUCAUGCUAACAAAUUGUAUUUUAAAUAUGAAAUUUUGACUCGCCACUUUUAAGAUCAAUAAUUGAAUUAAUUGGUUUGUGAUUGUUUUAAAAUUUGAAAGUGUCAAUCAUUUACUUCUUUUGUCAUACUUUUCCUUCGUUUCUUUUUUCUGUUCAAAUUUAAUUCAAUAUAAACACUUGAUAAUAUUUAGAAUUAAAUGUUUUCUUUGUUUUUAAUUUUUGAAUAAAAGUAAAAUGAACAUGAGUAGAAAAUUAACAUUUUUUUAAACUUCUUUAUAUAUCUAUUUAAUUUCACUUGAAUAUUACAUUCAGACGAAAUUAAAUAAAGAUAUAUUAUAUGCUAUUUAUAUUGUUCAUGUGAAAUUAAAUAGACAUAUAUACAUGAGUUACUUUUUAAAGUUAUUUGCAUAUAUGAUCAAUGAUGGAUAAAAAAAUUUAAUUUAUAAAAUAUGAGGGUCGAAACAAUUCAUUUUGUAAAAUGUGAGAUAUUAUCAAUCAGAUUAUGUAAAUUUUGAUUUGCUAAUUUUGUCCUUAAAAAUGAUCACGUGCAAAGCACGUGGUGGAUUCCAAUAAAAAAACUAGACGCAAAUUUAGGUAGAGAUGAAAUUUGACAAAUAUGAAUUUGUUAGGGACGUAAAAAUACACUUUUAAAAGUGAGAAACAAAAAAUUCAUUUUGCAAACUAUAAGAGGUGUUUCGAACGAUUUUUCCUAAAAAAAUAUAAAAUAUGCUAUGUUUUAUUGAUUUAUUUCUUUAAUUUACGGGUCUAUUAUUUCACAUGUUUUACAAGAAAUUUUCAUCAUUUGUAAUUUACAGGGAAAAUAAGUGCUAUUUUCAAAUAUUCCGGGGAGGGUAGCGAAAUUGAUAGAAAUCUAAAGGGGGGUUUCUGAAAUUAUACCUAUCAUCAACACAUAUAACCAUCAUUGACUCACCUAGGGUUUUAACGCAACUGUUCUGGGACUCCUCCAUCGCUAGCUACAAGCAGCCCCAUCACCCAUUCCCCGCCGGCCCUCAUCACCCAUCAGAAAAUGGUUAAGGGACGCCAAGGAGAGCGCGUCAGGUCAUCUAAUUUUCCGACUCCAUCUCCAUUUUCCCCUUAUUCAUUAAUUUGAUUUUUGUCCCGAUUUUUUGGGUUUAACCCUGCAGGCUUUACGUUAGAGGAACAAUACUGGGAUACAAGAGGUCGAAGUCCAACCAGUACCCGAACACUUCGUUGAUUCAGAUCGAAGGAGUGAUCACAAAGGAGGAGGUGGCUUGGUACCUCGGCAAGAAGAUGGCGUACAUCUACAAGGCUAAGGUUAAGAAGAAUGGAUCUCAUUACCGCUGCAUUUGGGGAAAGGUUUGCCGGCCUCACGGUAACAGCGGCCUUGUCCGAGCC
This 10071-nucleotide long non-coding RNA is filed under the name Coffea arabica (coffee). RNAcentral describes it as "long non-coding RNA (CARA_LNC000901)". Lineage: Eukaryota; Viridiplantae; Streptophyta; Magnoliopsida; Gentianales; Rubiaceae. The record is from RNAcentral.